UGGGGGAUAUUGCACAAUGGGGGAAACCCUGAUGCAGCGACGCCGCGUGAGCGAUGAAGUAUUUCGGUAUGUAAAGCUCUAUCAGCAGGGAAGAAGAUGACGGUACCUGACUAAGAAGCCCCGGCUAACUACGUGCCAGCAGCCGCGGUAAUACGUAGGGGGCAAGCGUUAUCCGGAUUUACUGGGUGUAAAGGGAGCGUAGACGGCGAUGCAAGCCUGGAGUGAAAGGCGGGGGCUCAACCCCCGGACUGCUUUGGGAACUGCAUGGCUGGAGUGUCGGAGAGGCAGGCGGAAUUCCUAGUGUAGCGGUGAAAUGCGUAGAUAUUAGGAGGAACACCAGUGGCGAAGGCGGCCUGCUGGACGAUGACUGACGUUGAGGCUCGAAAGCGUGGGGAGCAAACAGGAUUAGAUACCC
This 415-nucleotide ribosomal RNA is filed under the name uncultured bacterium. Its description in RNAcentral is "bacterial SSU rRNA". It matches the Rfam family "Bacterial small subunit ribosomal RNA", at positions 355 to 787 of the family's 1533-position model. The record is from RNAcentral.